AAUGUGGGACUUAGUGCUACAGUUUAGUUGACACGGUGGUGAUCAGUCCAAGUUUGGACUUGAUGAUCUUGGAGGUCUUUUCCAACCUAAAUGAUUCUAUGACUCUAUGAUGAUUGUGGAAAGCAAGUUAAUUAGAAUGAGAGUGCCCUUUGAUUUCAUGAGUGCAAACAGGUAUCCACAAUGAAACAUAUGGAAGUAAAAGCUCAGCCACAACCUGGAGAACUGUGAGCAAGAAGAGAUCCUGCAGUUUAACGCACUCUAAAUUAAAGUGCAACAGUUUUACUUUCUCAUCAUAGAGUGGAAUAAUGCUUAGCAGCUGCAAAUCUGUAAAUACAGACCUGCAGAGGUAGCUGAAAAUCCUAUCUGCUUUCAUACUGAUACCUUUUCUGCAAGUCUGUGAGUUCCUUGGGCCUGUGACACAUUUAUGUCUGCAAUGCAAUCUGCAAAAGUAUUACAUACUUGUGACAUUUUAAGAAUACAUAGGAGACAUCAUGUUUGCAAUGAGCAGAACCCUUGGGAACAGAGAAGCUUUCCAACAAAAUUUCGGAAGAAAAUGCAAGGCCAGCAAGGAACUGGCUAUGGCUUCCCAGAUUUCUGGACUUUUAUUUUCUAAUUUUCACCAGUUGGAUACAGUUGCUGAGCAACUCCUUCCUGUGUACUCUGGCUGCUUCUCAUGUGUGAUAACUUUCUUUAGGUUACCUAUAUAUCCUCUGUGCUAUGUGGUCUGGGAGGGUCAUCUGCCUUCUAUUUUGUGUUGAGAUGACUGGCUAAGGCCAUAAGAGUAGAACAGCGGAUGUUGUAUACCUUGAAUUUAGCAAGGCCUUUAGCAUUGUACCUAGUGUUUUUACAGCCAAACUGGUGAACCAUGGACUGGAUAAAUAGACAGUAAGAUGGGUGGAAAAUUAUCUGAACCAUUGAGCUUUAAGGGUAGUGAUCACUGGUACAAAGCUGGUUAUGAGUGACUUGACCCAGAAAUUGAUGCCAACCAUGCUUGUUCUCAGUAACAACUUGGAUGACUGGAUCAAGUGUAUCCCUUGCCAGUUUGGAGAUAUAUGUAUUGGGAAGGGUGUUCAGUACACUGAAGUGCAGGGUUGCUGUUUGGGGAACUUAGUCAGGCUCCAGAAAUGGGCUGUCAGGAACCACAUGAAAAUCGCCAAAGGCAAAUACAAAGUUCUGCAUAUGGAAUAUGCCCAUGCAACAGGACAGGGCAGCACUGGCUGGCUAGGAAGCAGCUUUGUAGGAAAGGACCCAAGGCCCUUGUGGGCAGUCAGUUGCACAGUCACCAGUGUGCCUUUCUGGCAAAGAGGGGCAGCUGCACCAUGGGCUGCACUGGGAGGAGGGUAGACAGCAGCUGGAGGGAAAUGGUGUUUUUUUCCUUCUAUCUGGCACUUUUGGCAUGACCUCAAAAGUGGUGUGUCCAGUUGUGGGCUCCCCAACACAGAAAAGACAUAGACAUAGUGGAGCGAGUGCAUCGGAGGGACAUUUUGAUGUUAUGGGGGCUCUAACACGUGAUGUGCAAGGAGAGACUGAGAGACAUGUUCCGUCCUUCUCCCAGGCAACCAGCAAUAUGACAAGAGGGCACAGUCUUAAGCUGUG
Long non-coding RNA from Pipra filicauda (Wire-tailed manakin), 1596 nucleotides. RefSeq lists it as uncharacterized. The record is from RefSeq and is a predicted model, not a curated record. The transcript is spliced from 3 exons. Lineage: Eukaryota; Metazoa; Chordata; Aves; Passeriformes; Pipridae.